GAUGAACGCUGGCGGCGUGCCUAAUACAUGCAAGUCGAGCGAAAAGACGAGGAGCUUGCUGCUCUGACGUUAGCGGCGGACGGGUGAGUAACACGUGGAUAACCUACCUGUAAGACUGGGAUAACCUCGGGAAACCGGAGCUAAUACCGUAUAAUAUAUUGAACCGCAUGGUUCAAUAGAGAAAGACGGUGUUGCUGUCACUUAUAGCUGGAUCUGCGCCGCAUGAGCUAGUUGGUAAGGUAAAGGCUUACGAAGGCAACGAUGCGUAGCCGACCUGAGAGGGUGGUCGGCCGCACUGGAGGUGAGACACGCUCCAUACUCCUGCGGUAGGCCGCAGUCGGCAAUCUGCCGCAAUGGGCGAGAGCUUGGCGGAACAGCGCCGCGUCAGUGGUGGCGAUCCUCGGAUCGUAAUACUCUGUUAUUAGGGGAGAACAAAUGUGUAAGUAGCUAUGCACGUCUUGACGGUACCUAGUCAGAAAGCCACGGCUAACUACGUG
This 497-nucleotide ribosomal RNA is filed under the name uncultured bacterium. RNAcentral's name for it is "partial 16S ribosomal RNA". It matches the Rfam family "Bacterial small subunit ribosomal RNA", at positions 28 to 507 of the family's 1533-position model. The record is from RNAcentral.